UCCCAAGGAUAAGUCUGUGAUCAGAGGAUAAAUCUGUGAUCACCCCUGCUGGGGCUGCUGUGUGUGCGUGGCUUUUUGGCAUUUGUGGACCUGAGGGUUUCUGUUUGGAUCUGGUCUCUGUGCUUGAGUGCUCUGCGAGGGGCUGCACUGUUUGCGUGUCCCUCACGGACACGACCUUCUCGUUUUGUUUCUUGUAGGGUCAUAGGCACGGACUAAGCUGGAAAUUUGGACGAGGAAUGAGGGCAAGUGGAUGGCACUGUGGGCCAUGAGUUGGUCGGUGGGUUUUGUUAGUCUGUUUUGCCUUGGCAAGCACAGCGGGACGGCAGCGUGCAUCUCCUGCCACGUUUCUGAGGCACACCAGAUGCCAACGGUUCCAGAUCCUGGCAGAUCCUAGAACCUGGAGAUGCUCGGAGUGCAGGAGCAUGGAGUGUGAUUCACCUGUUUGGGACGUUAGGUGAGCAAAGUGGGGGUGCUGGGCUGGAGGACGUGGGUCUGGGGCUUGGCUGUGUGGGAGGAAAGAAGAGGAGUGGGUAUAGGCUGCUUUGUGGAUCAUCAUGUUUGUCUGUUCUUUCUCCUUGGUCUAACCCACGUGGCCUUGGCUCGGCAUGGCAAAUGGAAGCACCAAACCUCGAUCAGGAAGGUUCUCCUACAGGAACAGUCUCUCAGGUCUCAGGGUCAACUGAUGUCUUCACCCGGGUGUAAUGAGGGUGUAACCCUUCCUCAGCUGUUCCUACUGCCGUCUCAGUAGUCAGGGGUACCUGGAACGGUCCGUCCCACCCAGGUUGUAGUUUCAAUUCCCUCCACACUCGUAUCAAAACCCAAUCUCCUGCUCCGAAGGGAUGGAUUGGGGCUUCCAAGGGUGGGGUUUGAGCUAACAGUCCACAGGUCCUGAGCGAUGACAAAGAAGACGACAGCCCAAAGAUGUACUUUUUAAGAAAAGCAUAUUUUGUCUCGAAUUGAGGUAAUCCAUUCCCUCUGCCCAGGUCCGGCAAUCCAAAUAAUGUUUCAUAUGGUGAAACUCCCACACCUUUCCUUGGCGCCGUCUGAAUUCGGAGAAGUGCCGAAGGUCAGCACUUGGUUCCGGGGAGCCAAGUUUCCAGGACGUAGUCAAUUGCUUCUUUCCUGUCUGAUCAGCUUCUUUCCUGUCUGAUCCUCUUUCCUGUCUGAUCCCAAUGAGUUACCCUGCCUCCGGCACAUACAACAAUUGCCCAUGUCUCAGCUUGGUGUCCCCAGAAAGUAGCACCGUUAUCUCAGCCCCUUCUACCCCCAGAGAGAUGGGGGAAGGUGCCCCCAGCUUGUUUCUGUCUCUCUCACCGCUCCAGCCUGCCAGCAGUAGGUAAUAAAUGUUAUUAAUCUUCCUGUG
Molecule: long non-coding RNA, 1363 nt
Organism: Oxyura jamaicensis (ruddy duck)
Lineage: Eukaryota; Metazoa; Chordata; Aves; Anseriformes; Anatidae
Exons: 2
Source: RefSeq, a predicted model, not a curated record